Molecule: long non-coding RNA, 443 nt
Filed under: Coffea arabica (coffee)
Lineage: Eukaryota; Viridiplantae; Streptophyta; Magnoliopsida; Gentianales; Rubiaceae
Description: long non-coding RNA (CARA_LNC004499)
Source: RNAcentral
AGAAAUUGAUUGCAAUUGACCACUUUUUCCACCUCAUAGAGUCCUUAAACAUCAUUUCCAAUCAUCAUAUAUAACCACACAACCAUGUUCAUAUUAAAACAGAAAAAUCCCCAAAAAUUAUAAAACUUCAUCAAGUCAACCACAACUCAAGAUAUAAUCCAUCAAACCAUCUCUUUAGCCAUCACAAGUCACUAAUUUAGCAUAAUCAAGAACAAAGAAAGGAUUGCUAGACAUGAACCUUGAAAUAUCAAGAAAGUUGAUGGCUUAGUCCUUUGCCUUCUCUAAUUACUCCACCACUACCUUCAAUCUUCCUAAACAAGUGAUUUUUGUGGAGGAAUUUGAAAGUUUAACGGUUGAUUCACAAGAUUGAGCAAGAAAUGGAGUUGGAGUUGAAGGCUUUCUUCUUGUUUCUCCUCCUCAAAAAAUUCGGCCAAGAAGCUUGC